UUUUUUUUUGUUGGCAGAGAGGUAUUUAAUGACAGCAAAAGCAAGAUCAGGGGUUGAUUUUUUUUUCUUUUUCUCUCUCUCUCUCUCUCUCUCUCUGUGUGUGUGUGUGUCCCAAACGCUUUCUUUUGAUAGAUGUCAGGCGAAGGCAGAGGCAGAGGCAAAGGCAGACAGACAGACAGACAGACAGACAGACAGACAGACAGUGGGCAAAAUUGUCUUACACGAGUUGAGCAGGAGGGCGAACCAGGAAAAGAGGUGAACUGUUGACGACGGUGAGGAAGGUAUGUGCGAUGAAAACGGCGACAGAGCAUCGCCCAAAGCCAAGGAGCUGAAAGUCCAAUCGCUCUGUGUUUUUUUAAAAAAAGUUAUAAACUAAACUCUUAGUUUUGAAACUGACCCCCCAAAAAUUUUUUUAACAGAGAGCCACCCAACAGCACGAAGGAGUAAACACAAAACUAUGCCAACAGAAAGCCAAUAAGCAUUGCAGUUUACUUUGAAGCUAAAUAACAUUUAGUGCUGUAAACUCCGACUGUGAAUUUCGCAGUAACUAACUCUCUGCUAAAACAAUGCUGUGUCUGCACUCUUGUGCUGAUGAUUUGCACUUUGAUGCAUUAAAAGAAAGCAGUAUACAACCUCAGGAGGGAUUCGAUUAUAUAUGUCGCAGAUAAAGGAUCAUUGAAAGACGUGCACAAGUAGAUGGGGAAGUGCUUCACUGGUAUUUGAUCUUAUAUGAAGAAAUAAAUGAGUUGGGACUGUGAUGGGGAUCUCUCCAUUGGAAAGACCAGAGCUGGCAGGUUUCCCUUUUUUUCCAACAUCUGGUCAGUCUUGAAGGAUGAUUCCCAUUCUGCUGAUGAGACACUGAUAAGGAUAAUUGGCUGACAUCAGUCACAUGUUCAGAG
Long non-coding RNA from Callorhinchus milii (elephant shark), 899 nucleotides. RefSeq lists it as uncharacterized. NCBI's taxonomy places the organism in Eukaryota, Metazoa, Chordata, Chondrichthyes, Chimaeriformes, Callorhinchidae. The record is from RefSeq and is a predicted model, not a curated record. The transcript is spliced from 3 exons.